Molecule: ribosomal RNA, 427 nt
Filed under: uncultured bacterium
Lineage: Bacteria
Description: partial 16S ribosomal RNA
Rfam family: Bacterial small subunit ribosomal RNA
Source: RNAcentral
UGGGGAAUAUUGGACAAUGGGCGAAAGCCUGAUCCAGCCAUGCCGCGUGUGUGAAGAAGGUCUUCGGAUUGUAAAGCACUUUAAGUUAGGAGGAAGGGCAUUAACCUAAUACGUUAGUGUUUUGACGUUACCGACAGAAUAAGCACCGGCUAACUCUGUGCCAGCAGCCGCGGUAAUACAGAGGGUGCAAGCGUUAAUCGGAAUUACUGGGCGUAAAGCGCGCGUAGGUGGUUUGUUAAGUUGGAUGUGAAAUCCCCGGGCUCAACCUGGGAACUGCAUUCAAAACUGACUGACUAGAGUAUGGUAGAGGGUGGUGGAAUUUCCUGUGUAGCGGUGAAAUGCGUAGAUAUAGGAAGGAACACCAGUGGCGAAGGCGACCACCUGGACUAAUACUGACACUGAGGUGCGAAAGCGUGGGGAGCAAACA